GAGGGUUUAAGAUAUAUAAAUCUUUAUGCCUUUUAAGCAUAAAAAGCACUCAUA
This 54-nucleotide transfer RNA is filed under the name Dermatophagoides pteronyssinus (European house dust mite). Its description in RNAcentral is "tRNA-Lys". The record is from RNAcentral. Lineage: Eukaryota; Metazoa; Arthropoda; Arachnida; Sarcoptiformes; Pyroglyphidae.